GUUUCCCUGCGGUGUUUGCCAAGGUCGUGAUGCCUUUGAACCAAUGUCUUCGUGACACGGUUGCCGACCAUUGACGCCGCUGUUGUGAGCGUUCCUCGUUGAACGCACCUGAUGCGGCAGGAACGCGACCCACCUGAACCCAGGUUCAGGACUAUCGGCCUAGCGGCACAUGCGGGGAAUCU
This 182-nucleotide non-coding RNA is filed under the name Rhodocyclaceae bacterium. RNAcentral describes it as "6S RNA". It matches the Rfam family "6S / SsrS RNA". From Rfam's summary of the family: E. coli 6S RNA was the first non coding RNA to be sequenced, but its function was unknown until recently. It consists of 184 nucleotides that fold into an extended hairpin structure with a large single-stranded internal bulge. The 6S RNA specifically associates with RNA polymerase holoenzyme containing the sigma70 specificity factor. Lineage: Bacteria; Pseudomonadati; Pseudomonadota; Betaproteobacteria; Rhodocyclales; Rhodocyclaceae. The record is from RNAcentral.